This 372-nucleotide ribosomal RNA is filed under the name Stenotrophomonas sp. RNAcentral describes it as "bacterial SSU rRNA". It matches the Rfam family "Bacterial small subunit ribosomal RNA", at positions 421 to 785 of the family's 1533-position model. Lineage: Bacteria; Pseudomonadati; Pseudomonadota; Gammaproteobacteria; Lysobacterales; Lysobacteraceae. The record is from RNAcentral.
GGUUGUAAAGCCCUUUUGUUGGGAAAGAAAUCCAGCUGGCUAAUACCCGGUUGGGAUGACGGUACCCAAAGAAUAAGCACCGGCUAACUUCGUGCCAGCAGCCGCGGUAAUACGAAGGGUGCAAGCGUUACUCGGAAUUACUGGGCGUAAAGCGUGCGUAGGUGGUCGUUUAAGUCCGUUGUGAAAGCCCUGGGCUCAACCUGGGAACUGCAGUGGAUACUGGGCGACUAGAGUGUGGUAGAGGGUAGCGGAAUUCCUGGUGUAGCAGUGAAAUGCGUAGAGAUCAGGAGGAACAUCCAUGGCGAAGGCAGCUACCUGGACCAACACUGACACUGAGGCACGAAAGCGUGGGGAGCAAACAGGAUUAGAUAC